RNAcentral lists this long non-coding RNA (237 nucleotides) under Homo sapiens (human). RNAcentral's name for it is "non-protein coding lnc-STRN3-13:1". Lineage: Eukaryota; Metazoa; Chordata; Mammalia; Primates; Hominidae. The record is from RNAcentral.
UUACACAUGGUUGGGGAGGCCUUAAAAUCCUGUUGGAAGACAAAUGAGGAGCAAAGUCAGAUAUCACAUGACAGUAGGCAAGGGAGAGUGUGCAGGGGAACUCUUCUUUAUAAAAUGACCAGAUCUUGUGAAACAUAUUCACUAUCAUGAGAACUGCAUGGGAAAGACUCACAUCCAUGAUUCAAUUACCUCCAACUGGGUCCCUUCCAUGACAUAUGGGAAUUAUGGGAGCUACAA